AGAGGUGCUUGCACCUCUGGCGUCGAGCGGCGGACGGGUGAGUAAUGCUUGGGAAUAUGCCUUAUGGUGGGGGACAACAGUUGGAAACGACUGCUAAUACCGCAUGAUGUCUACGGACCAAAGUGGGGGACCUUCGGGCCUCACGCCAUAAGAUUAGCCCAAGUGGGAUUAGCUAGUUGGUGAGGUAAUGGCUCACCAAGGCGACGAUCCCUAGCUGGUUUGAGAGGAUGAUCAGCCACACUGGGACUGAGACACGGCCCAGACUCCUACGGGAGGCAGCAGUGGGGAAUAUUGCACAAUGGGCGCAAGCCUGAUGCAGCCAUGCCGCGUGUGUGAAGAAGGGCUUCGGGUUGUAAAGCACUUUCAGUAAGGAGGAAAGGUUAAGUGUUAAUAGCACUUAGCUGUGACGUUACUUACAGAAGAAGCACCGGCUAACUCCGUGCCAGCAGCCGCGGUAAUACGGAGGGUGCGAGCGUUAAUCGGAAUUACUACGCGUAAA
This 499-nucleotide ribosomal RNA is filed under the name Pseudoalteromonas sp. Pseudoalt17. RNAcentral's name for it is "bacterial SSU rRNA". It matches the Rfam family "Bacterial small subunit ribosomal RNA", at positions 72 to 564 of the family's 1533-position model. Lineage: Bacteria; Pseudomonadati; Pseudomonadota; Gammaproteobacteria; Alteromonadales; Pseudoalteromonadaceae. The record is from RNAcentral.